GCCAAGAAUGGGCAGAGAAAAGCACAUAGAAAACUAACAGAGAAUUCUGUGGGCUGGGAGACUUUUUUUCCUACGUGGUCGGUAUACCUGAAAGACCCGAAUGACAUGCCUAGUUGCCAAUAUUUUAUCAAAAAAAUAGCCAUCCAACGUAUUCUUAUUUGGAGUGUAUCUGCUCUAGGUUCUUCGCUUCUAGUUACUCAAAUAUUUUGUUUCAUUGAGUCGCCCGGCAAAUGAUUGAUGAACCUAACUGCAAGUUGAAAAGAAUGCUUGAUUGGAAUUUCUUUUCUUGAACUAGCAUAGUUCUAGCAGUCUUGGGAGGUGUCGCUGGUACAGAUCAGAGUGAAAUCAGUUCAAAUACAAAUCAGAUAUCUUAUUUUACAAAUAUAGAUAUAGAUAUGGAUGUUAGCCAGAUAUAUUUAUUUUAAACAGAUAUAGAUACCAAUCGAAAACUGAAAAUAUGAAUAUAAAUAUAAAUAUAAGUUGGAUAAUUAAAUUUUAUAAAUAUAGAAUUGAAGAUAUUAGUAAGUGGAUAAUAAAUGAAGUUAAUAGUAUAUCAAUAUAAUCAUUUACUUUUUUACAAAGUUUCUGAGUGUUAUAUAAAUUAAAUAAGAUUAUAAAUAGAAUUAGAUAUUCAGAUAUGGAUUGGGUAGUUCUUUAUCCAUAUAUAUAUUUUUUUCAUGGAUAUGCACAUAGAUACAAAUAUUUAUUACUUGUUUAAAUUUUUAUCCAUUGAAUUUGGAUGGAUAUUAUCGAGUCCAUUUUUGGCCUUAUUUACCAAGGAUGUAAUGUGAUACAAAGAAAAUUAAUGGAUGAGCUUGAUUUUUAAUUUUAUUAUUUUAUUUCGUUUUUAUCUAAAGAUUUACAUUUUGGGAAAAUAGAAGGAAAAUAUCCUUCUAACCCUUGCGUUUGAGAUUGAAGAAUGAACACAUAUCUUUAAUCAACUAUAAUUCUUUUUCCCAUUUCAAUAUCAAGAAAAUUGUGAAAUCUACUAUUUGAUUUUGAAUGAAGAUGUACUCAUUGUUUUGGUAAAACAAGGAGGCACAAAUAAUCAUUUACGCCAUUUAUUCUUUUACCCAAUGAUGUCUUGAUCAACAUAUUUUUCUUUUAGAAGAUUUUUUUUUUUGCGACAAUCUCCAAGCACUCAUCAAAUCCCUCUAGAAUUAAGGUACCUUUAAAAUUUGGCUAAGCUUGUCUCCAAUGAUGCAAGCACCCAUCAAUAAUUUGAGGCAAGGCAUCCUACUUUACUUCUUUUUAUAUUUUCAUUUUAUUUCUAAUAAAUAUAUUUUUUAUUACUCUAUGUAAGGUUAAAUAAA
This 1313-nucleotide long non-coding RNA is filed under the name Phoenix dactylifera (date palm). Its description in RNAcentral is "long non-coding RNA (PDAC_LNC000422)". Lineage: Eukaryota; Viridiplantae; Streptophyta; Magnoliopsida; Arecales; Arecaceae. The record is from RNAcentral.